Molecule: signal recognition particle RNA, 250 nt
Filed under: Otolemur garnettii (small-eared galago)
Lineage: Eukaryota; Metazoa; Chordata; Mammalia; Primates; Galagidae
Description: Metazoan signal recognition particle RNA
Rfam family: Metazoan signal recognition particle RNA
About the family: The signal recognition particle (SRP) is a universally conserved ribonucleoprotein. It is involved in the co-translational targeting of proteins to membranes. The eukaryotic SRP consists of a 300-nucleotide 7S RNA and six proteins: SRPs 72, 68, 54, 19, 14, and 9.
Source: Rfam by way of RNAcentral
GCCAGGGGUUGUGGCAGACGCCUGUAGUCUCAGAUACUUGGGAGGCUGAGGCAAGAGAAUCGCUUAAGCCCAAGAGUUGGAGGUUGCUGUGAGCUGUGUGAAGUCAUGGCACUCUACCCAGGGCGACAUAGUGAGACUCUGUCUAAAAAAAAAAAAAAGAGUCUCACUUUGUUGCCCUGGGUAGAGUGCCAUGGAGUCACAGCUUACAGCAGCCUCCACCUCUUGGGCUUAAGUGAUUCUCUUGCCUCUC